AGGAAGUGUGCCUGAAUGUUUAAGGACCGCUUUGAUGGAGUGGACCAUGAGGGUUAAAGCCCCUCCAUUUCCUU
RNAcentral lists this transfer RNA (74 nucleotides) under Scleropages leichardti (spotted bonytongue). Its description in RNAcentral is "tRNA-Ile". It matches the Rfam family "tRNA". Rfam says of the family: Transfer RNA (tRNA) molecules are approximately 80 nucleotides in length. Their secondary structure includes four short double-helical elements and three loops (D, anti-codon, and T loops). Further hydrogen bonds mediate the characteristic L-shaped molecular structure. tRNAs have two regions of fundamental functional importance: the anti-codon, which is responsible for specific mRNA codon recognition, and the 3' end, to which the tRNAs corresponding amino acid is attached (by aminoacyl-tRNA synthetases). tRNAs cope with the degeneracy of the genetic code in two manners: having more than one tRNA (with a specific anti-codon) for a particular amino acid; and 'wobble' base-pairing, i.e. permitting non-standard base-pairing at the 3rd anti-codon position. The record is from RNAcentral. Lineage: Eukaryota; Metazoa; Chordata; Actinopteri; Osteoglossiformes; Osteoglossidae.